AACGAACGCUGGCGGCGCGCCUAAUACAUGCAAGUCGAGCGAGAAGACGUAGCAAUACGUUUGUAAAGCGGCGAACGGGUGAGGAAUACAUGGGUAACCUACCCUCGAGUGGGGAAUAACUAGCCGAAAGGUUAGCUAAUACCGCGUACGCUCCUUGGACUUCGGUUCAGGGAGGAAAGCGAUACCGUGGGUAUCGCGCUCUUGGAUGGGCUCAUGUCCUAUCAGCUUGUUGGUGAGGUAACGGCUCACCAAGGCUUCGACGGGUAGCUGGUCUGAGAGGACGAUCAGCCACACUGGCACUGCGACACGGCCCAGACUCCUACGGGAGGCAGCAGUGGGGGAGUAUUGCGCAAUGGGCGAAAGCCUGACGCAGCGACGCCGCGUGGGUGAUGAAGGCC
Molecule: ribosomal RNA, 398 nt
Filed under: uncultured bacterium
Lineage: Bacteria
Description: bacterial SSU rRNA
Rfam family: Bacterial small subunit ribosomal RNA
Source: RNAcentral